AUUGAACGCUGGCGGCAUGCCUUACACGUGCAAGUCGAACGGCAGCACGGGUGCUUGCACCUGGUGGCGAGUGGCGAACGGGUGAGUAAUAUAUCGGAACGUACCUUAUCGUGGGGGAUAACGCAGCGAAAGCUGCGCUAAUACCGCAUACGCCCUGAGGGGGAAAGCGGGGGACCGUAAGGCCUCGCGCGAUUAGAGCGGCCGAUAUCUGAUUAGCUUGUUGGUGGGGUAAAAGCCCACCAAGGCGACGAUCAGUAGCUGGUCUGAGAGGACGAUCAGCCACACUGGGACUGAGACACGGCCCAGACUCCUACGGGAGGCAGCAGUGGGGAAUUUUGGACAAUGGGGGCAACCCUGAUCCAGCAAUGCCGCGUGAGUGAAGAAGGCCUGG
Molecule: ribosomal RNA, 391 nt
Filed under: uncultured bacterium
Lineage: Bacteria
Description: bacterial SSU rRNA
Rfam family: Bacterial small subunit ribosomal RNA
Source: RNAcentral